Gemmatimonas sp. SM23_52 is the source of this 73-nucleotide non-coding RNA. Lineage: Bacteria; Pseudomonadati; Gemmatimonadota; Gemmatimonadia; Gemmatimonadales; Gemmatimonadaceae. The record is from Rfam.
UGCCCCGUGGUGUAAUUGGCAACACGCUUGGCUCUGGACCAAGAGACUCCUGGUUCGAACCCAGGCGGGGCAA